Molecule: small RNA, 150 nt
Filed under: Streptococcus gallolyticus
Lineage: Bacteria; Bacillati; Bacillota; Bacilli; Lactobacillales; Streptococcaceae
Description: Listeria sRNA rli38
Source: RNAcentral
GUUACUCUUAAAUAAUAGGGGUACGCAAUUACAUUGCGAAAUCCCAGCAUAGCAAGGUUUUUGCAAUGUCGAAGAGCGAAAAUAAGGUGGAAAAUGUUUUCAUUCCCCACCAAAACCCCACCAAGAAUUACUUCUUGGUGGGGUUCUUUU